RNAcentral lists this ribosomal RNA (497 nucleotides) under uncultured bacterium. Its description in RNAcentral is "partial 16S ribosomal RNA". It matches the Rfam family "Bacterial small subunit ribosomal RNA", at positions 28 to 507 of the family's 1533-position model. The record is from RNAcentral.
GAUGAACGCUGGCGGCGUGCCUAAUACAUGCAAGUCGAGCGAACAGACGAGGAGCUUGCUCCUCUGACGUUAGCGGCGGACGGGUGAGUAACACGUGGAUAACCUACCUAUAAGACUGGGAUAACUUCGGGAAACCGGAGCUAAUACCGGAUAAUAUAUUGAACCGCAUGGUUCAAUAGUGAAAGACGGUUUUGCUGUCACUUAUAGAUGUAUCCGCGCCGCAUUAGCUAGUUGGUAAGGUAACGGCUUACCAAGGCAACGAUGCGUAGCCGACCUGAGAGGGUGAUCGGCCACACUGGAACUGAGACACGGUCCAGACUCCUACGGGAGGCAGCAGUAGGGAAUCUUCCGCAAUGGGCGAAAGCCUGACGGAGCAACGCCGCGUGAGUGAUGAAGGACUUCGGAUCGUAAAACUCUGUUAUUAGGGAAGAACAAAUGUGUAAGUAACUAUGCACGUCUUGACGGUACCUAAUCAGAAAGCCACGGCUAACUACGUG